AGAACGCGUGCCCGGAGGGUGGUAGGUCACCGCGCUCCUAGCACCUGAGACCUGGGGCGCCCCUGGCCUGAGUGAACGCGCCAAUCACGGCUGCACUCUCCUGAACAGGGAACUGGCGGGGCGGGAAAAAUCGACUUGGUUCCGGGUUCGCAAGCGGAUUUACUUUGAAAAAAUUGGAUUUAUGACCCAGCAGUUCCCUUGGUGUCUAUCUCAGAGUAACCCUCGCACAAUGCAUAAAAAGGUUUGUGCACGGAUACUCCUAUAUAGGCUCACAAACAGUACAGAAUUAUGAACAAUGCUUGCAGUUGCAGAAAAUUGAAAUCAGUGGGGGAAUGAAGAAAUAAAUCAUGAAACAUUCCUACUAUGGAAUAUUAUGCAAUCGUGACAAGGGAUGAGGUGAUUCCAUAUGGCAAAAAAUCUCCCGAAGUGUGUAAUAAGUAAAAAAGGCAAGUAGAAUUAAAAUACUUGGGUUUGUUUUUAAAAGAAUAAAAGUUCAUGGGAAAUGGAAUUAAAAGAUAAAAUUUAAAAAUAUAAACUUUGUUUUUCAACGUAAGCUCCAUCAAGUUAAAGACAGUUUGGUAAGUGAUGAUACCGGCUCUUUAGUCCAUCUGUAAAGAAUUGAGGGUUCUGGGAAUUUAAUCAUGAAAAUGCAGGCUUUUUUACGUUAUUAACUGAAGAAAAAUGGGUGCCAUUUACAGAUUUUUCACGAUUAGAAAACAAAAAUAUGUCAGAAGGAGCCAGGUCAGGAAUGUAAGAUGGAUACCUGAUAGUUUCCCAUCGAAAUCCCUGGAAAAAUGCCCUUAUUUAAAGAGAGGAAUGAGCAGGAACAUUGUCCUGAUGGAGAAGGACUCUCUGGUGAAGAUUUCGUAGGUGUUUUUAUGCUAAAGCUUUGCUUCACUUUCUCCUAUAGUAAGCGGAUGUUAUUGCUCUUCCACCCUCCAGAAAGUCAACAGGCAAAAUACCUUGAGCAUCCCAAAAAGCUGCUGCUAUGACUUCGGCUCUUGACCAGUCUACUUUUGAUUUGACUGGACCACUUGCACCUCUUGGUAACUAUUGCUUUGAUCCAGAAUCAUACUGAGAAAGCUAUGUUUGAUCUCCUGUUACAAUUCUUCAAAGAAAUGUUUCAAUAUAUGAUCCCACUUGUUUACAAUUUCCAUUGAAAGCCCUGCUCUUGUCUGCAGCUCAUCUGGGUGCAACAGUUUUGCACCCAUCGGGUGAAAAGUUUGCUCAACUUCAGUUUUUCAGUGAGAAAUGUGUAAGUAGAACCAGUUGAAAUGUCUAUGGUGUUGUAUAUUAUUUGUGCUGUUAAUUGUGGGUCCUCUUCAAUUAGGGCACACCGAAGAAUAAUCUUUUCCUCAAAAAUCGAUGUGGAUUGUCUGCCACUGCAGGCUUCCUCUUCAACAUUGUCUCAUCCCUUCUGCAAACAAGUUAUCCAUUUGUAAACUUCAGAUUUCUUUGGGGGAAUUUUCCCCAUCAAACUUUUGUAAAGCAUCCUUGAUUUCACCAUUCUUCCACCCAAUCUUGACCAUAAAUUUGAUGUUUUUUCUUGCUUCAAUUCAUGCUGCUCUGAUAGGGGCUGUUUUCAAGCUGAUGUCUUAUCCUUUUUAGUGCCUCAAACUAGAUCUUGUUCAGAUACAUUAUAACAAGUGAGUACGAAUUUUUGGUGCAAAAAAGUUUGAAAUUCAUACAUAGUUUUUUUUUUAGUUAGGAAAAAUGUUUAUAUAAAUUUAAAUUUACAUAUAUUCCAUCCUUCUCUUAACUGAAAAGAGUAAGAAACUUUCUGAGAUUUUCUUUGUUACCAGUUCCUUUUUUUUUUUUUUUUUUAAUAUACUUUAAGUUCUGGGAUACAUGUGGAGAAUGUGGAGGUUUGUUAUGUAGGUAUACAUGUGCCAUGGUAGUUUGCUGCACCCAUUAACUCGUUGUCUACAUUAGGUAUUUCUCCUAAUGCUAUCCAUCCCCUUGCCCCCCAACCCCCGACAGGCCCCAGAGUGGAUGUUCCCCUCCCUGUACCCAUAUGUUCUCAUUUUUCAACUCCCACUUAUGAGUGAGAACAUGGGGUGUUUGGUUUUCUGUUCUUGUGUUAGUUUGCUGAGAAUGAUGGUUUGCAGCGUCAUCCAUGUCCCUCCAAAGGACAUGAUCUCAUCUUUUUUAUGGCCGCAUAGUAUUCCAUGGUGUGUAUGUGCCACAUUUUCUUUAUCCAGUCUAACAUUGAUGGGCAUUUGGGUUGGUUCCAAGUCUUUGCUAUUGUGAAUAGUGCUGCCAGAAACAUACGUGUGCAUGUGUCUUUAUAGUAGAAUGAUUUAUAGACCUCUGGGUAUAUACCCAGUAAUAGGAUUGCUGGGUCAAAUGGUAUUUCUAGAUCCUUGAGGAAUCGCCACACCAUCUUCCACAAUCGUUGAACUUAUUUACACUCCCACACUGUUACCCAGUGUGAAAGCAUUCCUAUUUCCCCACCUUCUCUCCAGCGUCUGUUGUUUCCUGACUUUUCAAUGAUCGCCAUUCUAACUGGCGUGAGAUGGUAUCUCAUUGUGGUUUGCAUUUGCAUUUCUCUAAUGACUAGUGGUGAUGAGCUUUUUUUCAUAUGUUUGUUGGCCACAUAAACGUCUUGUUUUGAGAAGUGUCUGUUCAUAUCCUUCAUUCAUUUUUUGAUGGGAUUGUUUUUGUUGUUGUUUUGUUUUUGUUUUUGCUUGUUUUUUUUGAAACAGAGUCUUGCUCUUGUUACCCAGGCUGGAGUGCAAUGGUGCAAUCUCAGCUCACUGCAACCUCCACCUCCUGGGUUCAAGUGGUUCUCCUGCCUCAGCCUCCGUAGUAACUGGGAUUAGAGGUGCCUGCCACCAUGCGCAGCUAAUUUUUUUUUUUUUUUGGUAUUUUUAAUAGAGACGGGGUUUCACUGUGUUGGCCAGGCUGGUCUUGAACUCCUGAC
Molecule: long non-coding RNA, 2923 nt
Filed under: Homo sapiens (human)
Lineage: Eukaryota; Metazoa; Chordata; Mammalia; Primates; Hominidae
Description: non-protein coding lnc-TFDP2-15:2
Source: RNAcentral